Balaenoptera musculus (blue whale) is the source of this 107-nucleotide small nuclear RNA. NCBI's taxonomy places the organism in Eukaryota, Metazoa, Chordata, Mammalia, Artiodactyla, Balaenopteridae. The record is from Ensembl.
AUGCUUGAUUCAACAGCACAUAUGCUAAAAUUGGAAUGAUACAGAGAAGAUUAGCAUGGCCCCUGCACAAGGAUAAUACACAAAUUUGCGAAGCGUUCCAUAUUUAA